RNAcentral lists this ribosomal RNA (213 nucleotides) under Daphnia pulex (common water flea). RNAcentral describes it as "partial large subunit ribosomal RNA". The record is from RNAcentral. Lineage: Eukaryota; Metazoa; Arthropoda; Branchiopoda; Diplostraca; Daphniidae.
AAAUAGGCCAUAAAAUUUGAGGAUAGAAACCAACCUGGCUUACGCCGGUCUGAACUCAGAUCAUGUAAGAAAUCAAAAGUCGAACAGACUUUCCAACAAAACUUCUGCACCUUGCUAAUUUCUUAAUCCAACAUCGAGGUCGCAAACCUUUUGAUUUUAGUCAAUUCUAUGAGUUUAACUAGGCCCAAAUAUUUGUUUCCUAAAACUUACUAC